GAUGAACGCUGGCGGCGUGCCUAAUACAUGCAAGUCGAGCGAACAGACGAGGCGCUUGCUCCUCUGACGUUAGCGGCGGACGGGUGAGUCACACGUGUAUCAUCUACCUAUCUUACUGGGAUAACUUCGGGAAACCGGCGCUAAUCCCGGAUAAUAUCUUGAACCGCAUGGUUCAAUAGUGAAAGACGGUUUUGCUGUCUCUUAUAGAUGCAUCCGCGCCGCUUUAGCUAGUUGGUACGGUCACGGCUUACCACGGCGACGAUGCGUAGCCGACCUGAUAGGCGGAUCGGCCACAUGGGAACGGAGACAGGGUCCAGACUACUACGGGAGGCAGCAGAAGGGUAUCGUCCGCAGCAGGCGAAAGUCUGACGGAGCAACGCGGAGUGAGAGAUGAAGAUCUUCGGAGCGGAAUACUCGGUUAUUAGGUAAGAACAAAUGUCGAAGUAACUAUGCACUGAUUGACGGUAACGAAUCAGAAAGCCACGGCUAACUACGUG
Molecule: ribosomal RNA, 497 nt
Filed under: uncultured bacterium
Lineage: Bacteria
Description: partial 16S ribosomal RNA
Rfam family: Bacterial small subunit ribosomal RNA
Source: RNAcentral